AGUUCGGAUUGUAGGCUGCAACUCGCCUACAUGAAGCUGGAAUUGCUAGUAAUCACAGGUCAGCAUACUGUGGUGAAUACGUUCCCGGGCCUUGUACACACCGCCCGUCACACCAUGAGAGUUGAGAAUACCCGAAGUCCAUGUCAAAGUGGCCGAAGGUAGGCUUGAUGAUUGGGGUGAAGUCGUAACAAGGUAUC
RNAcentral lists this ribosomal RNA (197 nucleotides) under uncultured bacterium. Its description in RNAcentral is "partial 16S ribosomal RNA". It matches the Rfam family "Bacterial small subunit ribosomal RNA", at positions 1290 to 1500 of the family's 1533-position model. The record is from RNAcentral.